RNAcentral lists this transfer RNA (65 nucleotides) under Tracheophilus cymbius. RNAcentral's name for it is "tRNA-Ala". Lineage: Eukaryota; Metazoa; Platyhelminthes; Trematoda; Plagiorchiida; Cyclocoelidae. The record is from RNAcentral.
GACAACGUAGUUUAAGUUUAGAGAUAGGUAUUCUGCGAAUACUUGGUGAGGUUUCUCCGUUGUUG